RNAcentral lists this ribosomal RNA (468 nucleotides) under uncultured bacterium. Its description in RNAcentral is "partial 16S ribosomal RNA". It matches the Rfam family "Bacterial small subunit ribosomal RNA", at positions 28 to 507 of the family's 1533-position model. The record is from RNAcentral.
GACGAACGCUGGCGGCGUGCUUAACACAUGCCAGUCGAACGGAAAGGCCCUGCUUUUGUGGGGUGCUCGAGUGGCGAACGGGUGAGUAACACGUGAGUAACCUGCCCUUGACUUUGGGAUAACUUCAGGAAACUGGGGCUAAUAUCGGAUAGGAGCUCCUGCUGCAUUGUGGGGGGUGGAAAGUUUCGGCGGUUGGGGAUGGACUCGCGGCUUAUCAGCUUGUUGGUGGGGUAGUGGCUGACCAAGGCUUUGACGGGUAGCUGGCCUGAGAGGGUGACCGGCGACAUUGGGACUGAGAUACGGCCCAGACUCCUACGGGAGGCAGCAGUGGGGAAUAUUGCACAAUGGGCGGAAGCCUGAUGCAGCAGCGCCGCGUGCGGGAUGACGGCCUUCGGGUUGUAAACCGCUUUCGCCUGUGACGAAGCGUGAGUGACGGUAAUGGGUAAAGAAGCACCGGCUAACUACGUG